Molecule: non-coding RNA, 841 nt
Organism: Xyrichtys novacula (pearly razorfish)
Lineage: Eukaryota; Metazoa; Chordata; Actinopteri; Labriformes; Labridae
Source: the annotation of a GenBank genome assembly
UUGGCGUUAGGGUUAAAAUCACUGUCCAAAACCUUUUUAGGAACACCUUUUGGAGUUAGUUACAACAACAAAAAAUUUUUGUAAAAUGAAAAAGAAAUAUUUGGGGUGUUCGGGCUUCCUGAAGGUAAUACCCGGGUAUUAGGUUAUGGGGCUUUGGUAAGGUUUAAGGUUUUUGGCAUUAGGGUUAAAAUCACUGUCCAAAACCUUUGUAGGAACUCUUUUCCAACCUUUUGGAGUUAGUUAGACCUAAAAAAAAAAACGAAAAAUGAAAAAAAAAAUGUUUGGGGUGUUCGGGCUUCCUGAAGGUAAUACCCGGGUAUUAGGUUAUGGGGCUAGGGUAAGGUUUAAGGUUUUUGGCGUUAGGGUUAAAAUCACUGUCCAAAACCUUUGUAGGAACUCUUUUUCAACCUUUUGGAGUUAGUUAGACCAAAAAAAAAUGAAAAAUGAAAAAAAAAAUAUUUGGGGUUUUCGGGCUUCCUGAAGGUAAUACCCGGGUAUUAGGUUAUGGGGCUAGGGUAAGGUUUAAGGGUUUUGGCGUUAGGGUUAAAAUCACUGUCCAAAACCUUUGUAGGAACUCUUUCCAACCUUUUGGAGUUAGUUAGACCCAAAAAAAAAAAAUAAAUAAAAAAAAUAUUUGGGGUGUUCGGUCUUCCUGAAGGUAAUACCCGGGUAUUAGGUUAUGGGGCUAGGGUAAGGUUUAAGGUUUUUGGCGUUAGGGUUAAAAUCACUGUCCAAAACCUUUUUAGGAACUCUUUUCCAACCUUUUGGAGUUAGUUACAACAAAAAAAAGUAAAAUGAAAAAAAAAAUAUUUGGGGUGUUCGGGCUUCCUGAAGGUAAUAC